RNAcentral lists this ribosomal RNA (502 nucleotides) under uncultured bacterium. Its description in RNAcentral is "partial 16S ribosomal RNA". It matches the Rfam family "Bacterial small subunit ribosomal RNA", at positions 28 to 507 of the family's 1533-position model. The record is from RNAcentral.
GACGAACGCUGGCGGCGUGCUUAACACAUGCAAGUCGAACGGUGAAGGGGUCUGCUUUUGUGGGCCCUGGAUGAGUGGCGAACGGGUGAGUAACACGUGAGUAACCUGCCCCCUUCUUCUGGAUAACCGCAUGAAAGUGUGGCUAAUACGGGAUAUUCUGGGUCUGUCGCAUGAUGGGUCUGGGAAAGAUUGCGCCUUUGGGUGUUUUUGGUGGGGGAUGGGCUCGCGGCCUAUCAGCUUGUUGGUGGGGUGAUGGCCUACCAAGGCGGUGACGGGUAGCCGGCCUGAGAGGGUGGACGGUCACACUGGGACUGAGACACGGCCCAGACUCCUACGGGAGGCAGCAGUGGGGAAUAUUGCACAAUGGGCGCAAGCCUGAUGCAGCGACGCCGCGUGAGGGAUGGAGGCCUUCGGGGUGUAAACCUCUUUCGCCAGUGAAGCAGGCCUGCUCCGUGUGGGUGGGUUGACGGUAGCUGGAGAAGAAGCGCCGGCUAACUACGUG